RNAcentral lists this unclassified non-coding RNA (379 nucleotides) under soil metagenome. Its description in RNAcentral is "partial contains 5.8S ribosomal RNA, internal transcribed spacer 2, and large subunit ribosomal RNA". The stretch from base 1 to 120 matches the Rfam family "5.8S ribosomal RNA", at positions 35 to 154 of the family's 154-position model. The record is from RNAcentral.
GAUGAAGAACGUAGUGAAAUGCGAUAAGUAAUGUGAAUUGCAGAAUUCAGUGAAUCAUCGAAUCUUUGAACGCACCUUGCACCCUUUGGCAUUCCGAAGGGUAUGCUCGUUUGAGUGUCAUUGUACUCUCACACUUCCAAUCUUUGGAUUGGGGGCGGUGGACUUGGGUGUUGCUGCUUACUGUGGCUCACCUCAAAUUGAUUCGUGCACCUCUUGGUUGGACAUAGUACGGCGUGAUAAGUGUCUUCGCCGGCACCUCAGUAGAGGGUGGCUGAUCGGGAGCUCUGUGCUUCAAACCGUCCUCGGACAACAACUGACAACUUGACCUCAAAUCGAGUAGGACUACCCGCUGAACUUAAGCAUAUCAAUAAGCGGAGGA